RNAcentral lists this long non-coding RNA (1160 nucleotides) under Oryctolagus cuniculus (rabbit). RNAcentral describes it as "lncRNA (ENSOCUG00000036721.1)". The record is from RNAcentral. Lineage: Eukaryota; Metazoa; Chordata; Mammalia; Lagomorpha; Leporidae.
GCAGGGGAUUUCCGGAAGCCAAGAUCAGCUCCAGAGCCUUAGGACCCUGAAGCAGAAAGAGAAGCGAGCAGAUUGAAGACAGGAAGCGGGUCCCAUCCGACUUGGCCACCCUAGCCCAUAGCACGGAGCCCAGAGCCUUGCAAGAGCUGCGUGGAUGUGGGAAGAGUGGAUGAGCGAUGCUGCCACCGACUCUCACCUGGGCCAUCCCAGGGCCCUGGCAGGGAAUCAGACAAAGUUCUUUGCUGAUAUACAAAGGAAGAAAUGCAUUUCUAUACCCUUUCUCUCUGUCUGCUGAACUGAUGGCGGGAAAAGGAGUCAGCAGAGACCCUGCGCUGCUUCCUGAGUGUGUGAAUGAGCCUGUGAGUUUUGCAGAGUCUGGAGAGAGCACAGGAGAAGUGGGAGGUGGCUGGGAGCAGGGAGAGAAAGCGGCGUGCGAGCAGAUGCGGAAGAUGGCCACGGGUGGGUCUGCGGACGUCAGAAUGAAGCAGCAGCCGACAGCCUGCAGGAGGAGAAGGGGGAAAGAAGACCUAAGAGCUACGGGAACACAGAGGUUUGAAACUACUCACCACACAGCGUAAAGCGAAAUAUCCCUGUAAGCUUCGUCAGGGCCCAAGGGGCAUCAGGCUUCUGCAACACCACACAAAAACGGAUGAUUCAAAACGACGGGCAUGCACUGGGCAGGCAAGCCCGCCCCAUUGAGCAGCGCAGGAAGCCAGUUCUGGGUCCAGACAGCAGCCGGAGCACAUGCUGCAACCUCCUCCUCCUCCAAACGCAUAAAGUGAGAUGGAAAAUUGGUUUAAAAGUGCAUAGACUCGGGGCCGCCAUGGUGGCAUAGCGCGUAAAGCCGCUGCCUGCAGUGCCAGCACCCAUAUGGGCACCAGUUUGAGUCCCAGCUGCUCCACUUCCGAUCCAGCUCUCUGCUGUGGCCUGGGAAAGCAGUAGAAGAUGGCCCGAGUCCUUGGGCCCUGCACCUGUGUAGGAGACAUGGAAGAAGCUCCUGGCUUCAGAUCGGCACAGCUCCGGCCAUUGCAGCCUAUUGGGGAGUGAACCAGCAGAUGGAAGACUUCUCUCUCUCUCUCUCUCUCUCUCUCUCUCUGCUUCUCCUUCUCUCUCUGUAUAACUCUGACAUGCAAAUAAAUAAAUAAAUAAAUCUUUAAACA